RNAcentral lists this ribosomal RNA (447 nucleotides) under uncultured bacterium. RNAcentral's name for it is "bacterial SSU rRNA". It matches the Rfam family "Bacterial small subunit ribosomal RNA", at positions 330 to 794 of the family's 1533-position model. The record is from RNAcentral.
UCCAGACUCCUACGGGAGGCAGCAGUGGGGGAUAUUGCACAAUGGGGGGAACCCUGAUGCAGCGACGCCGCGUGGGUGAGGAAGUACCCCGGUAUGUAAAGCCCUUUCGGCAGGGAAGAAAAUGACGGUACCUGAAGAAGAAGCCCCGGCUAACUACGUGCCAGCAGCCGCGGUAAUACGUAGGGGGCAAGCGUUAUCCGGAUUUACUGGGUGUAAAGGGGGCGCAGACGGCGAUGCAAGCCAGGAGUGAAAGCCCGGGGCCCAACCCCGGGACUGCUCUUGGAACUGCGUGGCUGGAGUGCAGGAGGGGCAGGCGGAAUUCCUGGUGUAGCGGUGAAAUGCGUAGAUAUCAGGAGGAACACCGGUGGCGAAGGCGGCCUGCUGGACUGCAACUGACGUUGAGGCCCGAAAGCGUGGGGAGCAAACAGGAUUAGAUACCCCAGUAGU